CCUGCGGAAGGAUCAUUACCGAGUGAGGGCCCUCUGGGUCCAACCUCCCACCCGUGUUUAUCGUACCUUGUUGCUUCGGCGGGCCCGCCUCACGGCCGCCGGGGGGCAUCCGCCCCCGGGCCCGCGCCCGCCGAAGACACCAAUGAACUCUUGUCUGAAGAUUGCAGUCUGAGCAGAUUAGCUAAAUCAGUUAAAACUUUCAACAACGGAUCUCUUGGUUCCGGCAUCGAUGAAGAACGCAGCGAAAUGCGAUAAGUAAUGUGAAUUGCAGAAUUCAGUGAAUCAUCGAGUCUUUGAACGCACAUUGCGCCCCCUGGUAUUCCGGGGGGCAUGCCUGUCCGAGCGUCAUUGCUGCCCUCAAGCACGGCUUGUGUGUUGGGCUUCGCCCCCCGGCUCCCGGGGGGCGGGCCCGAAAGGCAGCGGCGGCACCGCGUCCGGUCCUCGAGCGUAUGGGGCUUUGUCACCCGCUCUGUAGGCCCGGCCGGCGCCCGCCGGCGACCCCAAAUCAAUCUAUCCAGGUUGACCUCGGAUCAGGUAGGGAUACCCGCUGAACUUAAGCAUAUCAAUA
RNAcentral lists this ribosomal RNA (568 nucleotides) under Penicillium simplicissimum. Its description in RNAcentral is "eukaryotic LSU rRNA". The stretch from base 195 to 348 matches the Rfam family "5.8S ribosomal RNA". Lineage: Eukaryota; Fungi; Ascomycota; Eurotiomycetes; Eurotiales; Aspergillaceae. The record is from RNAcentral.